GCCGGCGUAGCUCAGUGGGAGAGCAGUCGAUUCGUAAUCGACAGGUCAAGAGUUCGAAUCUCUUCGCCGGCUCCA
Molecule: transfer RNA, 75 nt
Filed under: Chloroflexota bacterium
Lineage: Bacteria; Bacillati; Chloroflexota
Description: Chloroflexi bacterium (marine sediment metagenome) tRNA-Thr
Rfam family: tRNA
About the family: Transfer RNA (tRNA) molecules are approximately 80 nucleotides in length. Their secondary structure includes four short double-helical elements and three loops (D, anti-codon, and T loops). Further hydrogen bonds mediate the characteristic L-shaped molecular structure. tRNAs have two regions of fundamental functional importance: the anti-codon, which is responsible for specific mRNA codon recognition, and the 3' end, to which the tRNAs corresponding amino acid is attached (by aminoacyl-tRNA synthetases). tRNAs cope with the degeneracy of the genetic code in two manners: having more than one tRNA (with a specific anti-codon) for a particular amino acid; and 'wobble' base-pairing, i.e. permitting non-standard base-pairing at the 3rd anti-codon position.
Source: RNAcentral